ACUUAAGUAGUUUAAAUAAAAUUAUGAUUUGUGGUAUCAUAGAUAUAAAUUAUUAUCUUGGGUU
This 64-nucleotide transfer RNA is filed under the name Rhombodera valida. RNAcentral describes it as "tRNA-His". The record is from RNAcentral. Lineage: Eukaryota; Metazoa; Arthropoda; Insecta; Mantodea; Mantidae.